Molecule: ribosomal RNA, 446 nt
Filed under: uncultured Desulfuromonas sp.
Lineage: Bacteria; Pseudomonadati; Thermodesulfobacteriota; Desulfuromonadia; Desulfuromonadales; Desulfuromonadaceae
Description: bacterial SSU rRNA
Rfam family: Bacterial small subunit ribosomal RNA
Source: RNAcentral
CGGUGGAGCAUGUGGUUUAAUCGAAGCAACGCGAAGAACCUUACCAGGCCUUGACAUGCAGAGAACUUUCCAGAGAUGGAUUGGUGCCUUCGGGAACUCUGACACAGGUGCUGCAUGGCUGUCGUCAGCUCGUGUCCGUGAGAUGUUGGGUUAAGUCCCGCAACGAGCGCAACCCUCGUCCUUAGUUGCCAGCAUUCAGUUGGGCACUCUAAGGAGACUGCCGGUGUUAAACCGGAGGAAGGCGGGGAUGACGUCAAGUCCUCAUGGCCCUUAUGUCCAGGGCUACACACGUGCUACAAUGGCCGGUACAAAGGGUAGCAAGACCGCGAGGUGGAGCCAAUCCCAAAAAGCCGGUCUCAGUUCGGAUUGGAGUCUGCAACUCGACUCCAUGAAGUUGGAAUCGCUAGUAAUCGUGGAUCCAGCAUCGCACGUGAAUACGUCCGGCU